UGACCUUGGGUGUAUAUUAAAGGUCACAUGAAUUAAAGAUUAUUGGUGAAGGUCCCAAGUCUCUACGACUUCCGGUUCUGGAAAUACAAUUUUUCUAAAAUUGUACACAAUUUUUCAAGGGGAAUAACUCCUUAUAAGGGUUAAUAACAAAAUGAUUGUAUAUGUUCAUUAACAUUGCCAUCUGUUCCUGUACAUGUUGCCGUUUUCAAAUCAAUUUUAUCUCUAAUACUUUUUGAGAAAAAUGCAAAGGAAAGAAAUUGCUUUAAGGGGAUAUAACUCUCAUAGGGGACGAUGCAAUCCUAUUCAACCUCAUAUGGUAAUACAUCAUGAUGAGAUCUACCUAUUGUCCAAAUAAGGUAAUGAUAUCUUGAAAAACAAUGAGAGGGGGCCAUGUUGAAAAAAACUGAUAAAAGGGAGAUAACUUAUAAAGGGGAUGAUGAAAUCCUUAACAGGGUCAUCUGGUUAUACCUCAUGAUGAGGUUUAUCGAUGGUCCAUGUUUGGUCUUGAUAACUUCAAAAGAAACAUGGGGAGGCCAUGCCAAAAAAAUGUUGGAAGAAAAAAAAGAAAAAAAAGAAAAAACAUUAGAAAAACAAUAAGGUCUUUCCUCAUGUAGGGGAAAGACCUUAAAAAACAGGAGAAAAACAAUAAGGUCUUUCCUCGCGGAGAGGAAAGACCUUAACAAGCAGUUACACUAAACCAAGUUUCUUGUGAAGAAAAAAAAAACAUUUUAAAACAACAAACACUGGACAUGCUGAAAACCAACAUCAAAUGAACAGGCAUUUUCAGAUAAAAAAACUUUUUAACCAAAACUGAAACUUUAACAUAGUGUCAUUAUCCAAUUUAUGACAUAAAAUAUGGUAUAAUUAUUAAAUACUGGAACACUUAUAAACAAGG
Molecule: long non-coding RNA, 895 nt
Filed under: Mytilus galloprovincialis (Mediterranean mussel)
Lineage: Eukaryota; Metazoa; Mollusca; Bivalvia; Mytilida; Mytilidae
Source: RNAcentral